Molecule: ribosomal RNA, 253 nt
Filed under: uncultured bacterium
Lineage: Bacteria
Description: partial 16S ribosomal RNA
Rfam family: Bacterial small subunit ribosomal RNA
Source: RNAcentral
UACGAAGGGGACUAGCGUUGUUCGGAAUUACUGGGCGUAAAGCGCACGUAGGCGGAUUUGUAAGUCAGGGGUGAAAUCCCGGGGCUCAACCUCGGAACUGCCUUUGAUACUGCAAAUCUCGAGUCCGAUAGAGGUGGGUGGAAUUCCUAGUGUAGGGGUGAAAUUCGUAGAUAUUAGGAAGAACACCGGUGGCGAAGGCGGCCCACUGGAUCGGUACUGACGCUGAGGUGCGAAAGCGUGGGGAGCAAACAGG